UCCGAUAUGGUGUAGUGGCUAACAUCAUCGCCUCUCAUGGCCUAAUAUAAUUACUGGCAGAAUAUUGGCUGCGCAAUAGCCCGGGGUUCGAUUCCCUGUGUUGGAA
Rhodocollybia butyracea is the source of this 106-nucleotide non-coding RNA. The record is from the annotation of a GenBank genome assembly. Lineage: Eukaryota; Fungi; Basidiomycota; Agaricomycetes; Agaricales; Omphalotaceae.